AACGAACGCUGGCGGCAUGCCUAACACAUGCAAGUCGAACGAGACCUUCGGGUCUAGUGGCGCACGGGUGCGUAACGCGUGGGAAUCUGCCCUCUGGUACGGAAUAACUCAGGGAAACUUGAGCUAAUACCGUAUAAUGACUUCGGUCCAAAGAUUUAUCGCCUGAGGAUGAGCCCGCGUCGGAUUAGCUAGUUGGUGAGGUAAAGGCUCACCAAGGCGACGAUCCGUAGCUGGUCUGAGAGGAUGAUCAGCCACACUGGGACUGAGACACGGCCCAGACUCCUACGGGAGGCAUCAGUGGGGAAUAUUGGACAAUGGGCGAAAGCCUGAGCCAGCAAUGCAGCGUGAGUGAUGAAGGCCUUAGGGUUGUAAAGCUCUUUUACCCGGGAUGAUAAUGACAGUACCGGGAGAAUAAGCCCCGGCUAACUCCGUGCCAGCCGCCGCAGUAA
RNAcentral lists this ribosomal RNA (449 nucleotides) under uncultured bacterium. RNAcentral's name for it is "partial 16S ribosomal RNA". It matches the Rfam family "Bacterial small subunit ribosomal RNA", at positions 29 to 523 of the family's 1533-position model. The record is from RNAcentral.